GUAGUCCAACAAUUAGGAUUAUUGCCUUUCAAGCUAUAGACCUGGGUUCGACUCCUGGC
Cajanus cajan (pigeon pea) is the source of this 59-nucleotide non-coding RNA. The record is from Rfam. Lineage: Eukaryota; Viridiplantae; Streptophyta; Magnoliopsida; Fabales; Fabaceae.